CUUUAAAGUCUAUUUUAUCAGAGGCGAGAAUUGCAACUCCUGCUUUUUAUUUAUUUAUUUUCGCUUUCCAUUUGGUUGGUAAAUCUUUCUCCAUCCCUUUGUUUUGAGUCUUUGUGUAUCCUUGCAUGUGGGAUGGGUCUGGAUACAGCAUACCCAUGGGUUUUGGCUUUUUUUUCAAUUUUCCUGUCU
Long non-coding RNA from Cebus imitator (Panamanian white-faced capuchin), 189 nucleotides. RefSeq lists it as uncharacterized. The record is from RefSeq and is a predicted model, not a curated record. NCBI's taxonomy places the organism in Eukaryota, Metazoa, Chordata, Mammalia, Primates, Cebidae. The transcript has 3 exons.